GAUGAACGCUGGCGGCGUGCUUAACACAUGCAAGUCGAACGAAGCACUUUAACCUGAUUCUUCGGAUGAAGGUUUUUGUGACUGAGUGGCGGACGGGUGAGUAACGCGUGGGUAACCUGCCUCAUACAGGGGGAUAACAGUUAGAAAUGACUGCUAAUACCGCAUAAGACCACGGAGCCGCAUGGCUCAGUGGGAAAAACUCCGGUGGUAUGAGAUGGACCCGCGUCUGAUUAGGUAGUUGGUGGGGUAACGGCCUACCAAGCCAACGAUCAGUAGCCGACCUGAGAGGGUGACCGGCCACAUUGGGACUGAGACACGGCCCAAACUCCUACGGGAGGCAGCAGUGGGGAAUAUUGCACAAUGGGGGGAACCCUGAUGCAGCGACGCCGCGUGAGCGAAGAAGUAUUUCGGUAUGUAAAGCUCUAUCAGCAGGGAAGAAAAUGACGGUACCUGACUAAGAAGCACCGGCUAAAUACGUGCCAGCAGCCGCGGUAAUACGUAUGGUGCAAGCGUUAUCCGGAUUUACUGGGUGUAAAGGGAGCGUAGACGGCUGUGUAAGUCUGAAGUGAAAGCCCGGGGCUCAACCCCGGGACUGCUUUGGAAACUAUGCAGCUAGAGUGUCGGAGAGGUAAGUGGAAUUCCCAGUGUAGCGGUGAAAUGCGUAGAUAUAUGGAGGAACACCAGUGGCGAAGGCGACGGUCUGGGCCGCAACUGACGCUCAUUCCCGAAAGCGUGGGGAGCAAAUAGGAUUAGAUACCCUAGUAGUCCACGCC
RNAcentral lists this ribosomal RNA (773 nucleotides) under uncultured bacterium. RNAcentral describes it as "bacterial SSU rRNA". It matches the Rfam family "Bacterial small subunit ribosomal RNA", at positions 28 to 801 of the family's 1533-position model. The record is from RNAcentral.